This is a long non-coding RNA of Hemiscyllium ocellatum (epaulette shark), 261 nucleotides long. RefSeq lists it as uncharacterized. The transcript is spliced from 3 exons. The record is from RefSeq and is a predicted model, not a curated record. NCBI's taxonomy places the organism in Eukaryota, Metazoa, Chordata, Chondrichthyes, Orectolobiformes, Hemiscylliidae.
AGUAUUUGUCUCCAGUCUGGGGUGGGGGUUAUGCUCCUCCAGCUAUGGAUGGUCCCAAGACAAGAGCUCUAAAAAUUUAGUUUGCCAUUGGCAAGAAGGGGUUUUGCAGAAUUCGCACAUCUGGUUAUGCCAUGGAUGUUCAGAAAGGUCCAGAAAAGAUCUGGAAGGUUCUUGAAGACAAGAUCAAGGCAAAUGUGAAGUGGACAUUCCAGGGGUGAUGCAGCUGGUCAAACUGUUCAGCUUUUAGCAAAACACUACAGU